AUUGAACGCUGGCGGCAGGCCUAACACAUGCAAGUCGAACGGUAACAGGAAGCUUCUUGCUGCUUUGCUGACGAGUGGGGGACGUGAGGGCUAUGUCUCGGACACUGCCUGAUGGAUGGGGUUCACUACUGGACACGGUUGCUACUACCGCAUAACGUCGCAAGACCAAAGAGGGUGACCCUUGGGCCUAUUGGAUUCGCCUGUGCCCAGUUGGGAUUAGCUAGUAGGUGGGGUAACGGCUCACCUAGGCGACGAUCCCUAGCUGGUCUGAGAGGAUGACCAGCCACACUGGAACUGAGACACGGUCCAGACUCCUACGGGAGGCAGCAGUGGGGAAUAUUGCACAAUGGGCGCAAGCCUGAUGCAGCCAUGCCGCGUGUAUGAAGAAGGCCUUCGGGUUGUAAAGUACUUUCAGCGGGGAGGAAGGGAGUAAAGUUAAUACCUUUGCUCAUUGACGUUACCCGCAGAAGAAGCACCGGCUAACUCCGUG
Molecule: ribosomal RNA, 490 nt
Filed under: uncultured bacterium
Lineage: Bacteria
Description: partial 16S ribosomal RNA
Rfam family: Bacterial small subunit ribosomal RNA
Source: RNAcentral